RNAcentral lists this small RNA (919 nucleotides) under uncultured Micromonospora sp. Its description in RNAcentral is "bacterial SSU rRNA". The stretch from base 1 to 472 matches the Rfam family "Bacterial small subunit ribosomal RNA", at positions 1064 to 1533 of the family's 1533-position model. The record is from RNAcentral. Lineage: Bacteria; Bacillati; Actinomycetota; Actinomycetes; Micromonosporales; Micromonosporaceae.
GUCGUGAGAUGUUGGGUUAAGUCCCGCAACGAGCGCAACCCUCGUUCGAUGUUGCCAGCGGGUUAUGCCGGGGACUCAUCGAAGACUGCCGGGGUCAACUCGGAGGAAGGUGGGGAUGACGUCAAGUCAUCAUGCCCCUUAUGUCCAGGGCUUCACGCAUGCUACAAUGGCCGGUACAAAGGGCUGCGAUACCGUGAGGUGGAGCGAAUCCCAAAAAGCCGGUCUCAGUUCGGAUCGGGGUCUGCAACUCGACCCCGUGAAGUCGGAGUCGCUAGUAAUCGCAGAUCAGCAACGCUGCGGUGAAUACGUUCCCGGGCCUUGUACACACCGCCCGUCACGUCACGAAAGUCGGCAACACCCGAAGCCGGUGGCCCAACCCUUGUGGAGGGAGCCGUCGAAGGUGGGGCUGGCGAUUGGGACGAAGUCGUAACAAGGUAGCCGUACCGGAAGGUGCGGCUGGAUCACCUCCUUUCUAAGGAGCACCUUCACCCUGAACGGGGUGCAAGGAGCCCGCGUCAGCCACAAGUGCUGGCGGGGUGCUCAAUGGCGGAGACACUGGUGAAGUCGUCGGCUGGCAACGGCCGCCGACCCUCGUACUGUUUCCGGAGUGCUCGCGCGCUCCGGGGCGUGGAUCGGGUUGGUGGUGCGGCUGGUCGACACGUUCAGACACCCUGUUGGGUCCUGAAGGAACAAGCACUCGCUUGCUUCUUCUGGGUCCAGUCCGACCCCGGUCGCUGUUAGUGGCGCGCGGGGUCGGUGGCUGACCGUUGUUUGAGAAUUGCACAGUGGACGCGAGCAUCUUUGUGGUCAAGUUGCCGAGGGCGGACGGUGAAUGCCUUGGCACCAGGAGCCGAUGAAGGACGUGGGAGGCCGCGAUAGGCCUGGGGGAGCUGUCAACCUAGCUGUGAUCCCAGGGUGU